CGGGUGAGUAACACGUGGGUAACCUACCUAUAAGACUGGGACAACUUCGGGAAACCGGAGCUAAUACCGGAUAAGAUAUCGAACCGCAUGGUUCGAUAGUGAAAGAUGGUUUUGCUAUCACUUAUAGAUGGACCCGCGCCGUAUUAGCUAGUUGGUGAGGUAACGGCUCAUCAAGGCAACGAUACGUAGCCGACCUGAGAGGGUGAUCGGCCACACUGGAACUGAGACACAGUCCAGACUCCUACGGGAGGCAGCAGGA
RNAcentral lists this ribosomal RNA (259 nucleotides) under uncultured Staphylococcus sp. Its description in RNAcentral is "partial 16S ribosomal RNA". It matches the Rfam family "Bacterial small subunit ribosomal RNA", at positions 103 to 354 of the family's 1533-position model. The record is from RNAcentral. Lineage: Bacteria; Bacillati; Bacillota; Bacilli; Caryophanales; Staphylococcaceae.